This is a long non-coding RNA of Mastomys coucha (southern multimammate mouse), 1144 nucleotides long. RefSeq lists it as uncharacterized. NCBI's taxonomy places the organism in Eukaryota, Metazoa, Chordata, Mammalia, Rodentia, Muridae. The record is from RefSeq and is a predicted model, not a curated record. The transcript is spliced from 2 exons.
GAACAGGAAGCGGGAGAGAAUCGGAGCCAUUUCUCCGCGCUGACCGAUCUCCACGCCUGCAGCUCCCACCUCCCCGGAAUCUAGGGGACUCCUCUGCUUAGUACUGAGCCAUGCUGGAUAUUUUCAUCCUCAUGUUCUUUGCUAUCAUAGGCCUGGUGGUUCUGUCCUACAUUAUUUACCUGCUCUAGUGGCCUGGAGCUGCGAGGGGGAAGGAUGGAGCUGAAGGGCCGAGCAUCCUGCUUGCUGACGCACCGGUGGAUUUUUGCUUCUGGUCAUUAUUCGGCUCCUGUGUCGGGGCCAGCAAGAGGCCUCUUACCACCAGCAGCAAUCCUGAGGCCCAACUGACUUCUUCCAGUGUAUCCAGAUGUGGCUGACACUUGGCACGCAGGCAUUCUGGGAGGCAGGGGCACUCCUGGGACACCGGGAGUCCAAGAACGUCAGCCAUUGGCAGCUGCUGCAUGCGAUUGAGCUAUAGACAGGGGGUGUUGAGAAUAUGGAAGGUUGGGGUGGUGAAGUCAGAGUGGAGAAUGCCCAAACAUUCAUACGGGCAGCCUUUCCUUAGGUCUAAGUGCACCUGCACAGGAUGCUAAAAUGUUCCUCCUUCCUUUCUGCUUCAUAAGCAGGCGUUCCCUUGUAAACUCAAGGGCAAACUCCCGAUCGGUGAUUUACAGUGUGUACAGCCUGAGGUUGUGUGGUUUCCCUUGUUCUACAGCCUACUCCCACCCUCAAAAUUCCUGAUAUUUGCAUUCUUUACGGUUUAUCAUCUCUUCCCUCCUUUUCCCACUUGUUCCCAGCUCCUUAGUUGAAUAGAGGCGCAUGGUCAUGAAGUCCUUAUUCUUUGUGCACUUCCCUAUAAAGUGUUGAAGCAAAAUGGCUAUAUUAAUUUAGGAGAAAAAAAUUUAUCCUAAAUGGAAGGGUUCAGAAACUUUUUAAAAAAAAUUUAAAUGUUCCUUUAUCUUUAAAAAAAAAAAACAAAGCUGUUAUUUCCUUGUCCAGUUAGGGUUGAAAAAAACUGUGUUUUAGGAUACAGUGGAUUUGAUCCCAAAUCUGUGGUAUCUAUUAUUCCCUUGAAGACUCUGUCAUAAUUGUUCUGCAUUGAUUUUCUUUUUUAGGUUAGAAUAAACAAGGAAAAAGAUUGAAUGAA